Molecule: long non-coding RNA, 1526 nt
Organism: Bos taurus (domestic cattle)
Lineage: Eukaryota; Metazoa; Chordata; Mammalia; Artiodactyla; Bovidae
Source: Ensembl
UCCAUGAGCAGCUCAGCAGGGUGGCCUCCAGCUUGACCUGUCCUGAGGUUGCAGUCAAGCUGUUGGUGGGGCAUGCAGUCCUCUGAGGCAGCAUUGCUUCCAAGCUGACGGUGGUUUUAAGAUCAGGCCACUCAAGAUGGCUGCUCUCUUGCUCUGUCCACAUCAGCAGUCCCCAACCACUUUGGAACCAGAGACCAGUUUCCUGGAAGACAAUUUUUCCACGGAUAGGGGGGCAGGGGCGGGGCUUCAGAAUAAUUCAAGUGCGUUACAUUUAUUGAGCUCAUUGAGCAGGAAGCAGAGCUCAGGCAGUAACUGUGAAGACAAAGCUUCUGUUGCUUGUUGGCCUCUCACCUCCUACUGUGUGGCCAGGUCUAGGCUGGGGAAAAGAAAGUGUUAGUGGCUCAGUCGUGUCCCACUCUUGGCAACCCCGUGGACUGUAGCCUGCCAGGCUCCUCUGUGCAUGGGAUUCUCCAGGCAAGAAUACUGGAGUGGGUUGCCAGGCCCCAGGUGCUGAUUGUUCUAAUCAUUAGAUCAGACCCCUCUACUCAGUUUAAAAGGAGCGGGCUUUCUGCUGGUUUUCCUGGUAACUGAUGAGCACACCUGAUGUCAGUUCCCUUGUAACUGGUAACCUCCCUUUGCCCCUGCUACCAAAGACUGCACGUCUUGCCCUGGUGUCUUUGCUGCUGUCUAUCGACUUGAUGGGGUGUUGCUCCAGGAUCCUGCUUCAGAUAAAUAAGCUCCCCCAUCCAUUAAAACAUUAAUGUCCCUGUUGCUGCCUUAGAGCUCUUUCUUCAGUCUUGAGGCUGGUAGGUGUGGCGCAAGGUCUGAGGACAACUUCUCAGUGAUCCUUGAAACACCUGACACCAGUCAGGACCACACUGACAGCCACAGAGCCAGAUGGUUACCAAAGUCCACUCCUGUGCAGCCAUCUGCAGUCCGCUAGAUCUUCAGUAAAGGAGUAGAGACACCCCCAGGAGGUUGAGACAAGAGACCCUGCAUGCUACUGGGGACACUGGAGGAUUGGCGGUGCCUGCACUGGUGUUGCACGGGGUGCCUAUCAGUGCUUUAGGACCUGAGUCUCAUUCUCCAGGAUCCCCUGGCACCAGAAAAUGGUUUCCAAACUGUGGAUGACUCUAUUGGUUGACUGUGCUAAGAUUGCUUCCUGUGCAGUAUUUGCUGAGUGGAGGUGCUGAAUAACUUGAAAAGUACAGCUCCUCAUGCAGUUAAAUGAGUUCGUGGUAACAGAUGCCUGAAAGGAUGAGGGUUAUAGAUACCUCUGCUGGGUAAUCCCUUUGGAAGUCCCCAGAAAUUUCCUUGGUCAGAUCUAGAGCCCUGUUAACUGUAUCAGUGCUGAGUAGCUGGAGGAAAUUAUGACUGUGCUGUCUUCACAGUUCUAGCUACCAUGAUCUCACUCUAUAUUUUUUGACUGACUACUAUUAAAAAAAGUAGAUGGCUUUUUGACUGGUAAUUGGAUAAUUGGGUAAACUUCCAAUCAAAGAGUAGAUUGUAGAUUGAAAGCAGAAGAG